Molecule: ribosomal RNA, 666 nt
Filed under: Triticum aestivum (bread wheat)
Lineage: Eukaryota; Viridiplantae; Streptophyta; Magnoliopsida; Poales; Poaceae
Description: partial small subunit ribosomal RNA
Source: RNAcentral
CGGACGGUCUAUAAAUACGUACGGGCUUUCCUCAACCAGCAAGCAUCACAGCAGGACGUACAUAGCUAGCUGCCCAGCUCUCAAAGCCUCGCUCGAAUCAUUAGCUAGCAGCAUCGAAUCAUCAGCAUGGCUUCUGCCGGCCGUCGUCCCACGGUGCUCCAGCAGAUCGCUCUCUUCCUCGUCGUCGCCGCGGUGAUCAUGAACAGCUCCGUCUGCCUUGGAGCCGCUGGCCACGACGCCACUGUAGUAGGCACUGGUAGCAACGACCCUAACCACCCUGCUUUUCCGUCGCCGCCUGGUAAACCCUACACCGGUCGUCCGUGCAGCAAAAUUUACGGCUGUAAUGUACCACCGGCAGGUGGCCAGCCCUAAUUACACCCGUGCGCAGGCCUCAUCUUCCAAAACAAUGCAAGGAUCGAUCGGUUUAUGUAACGGAACGGCGGCCUAGACGCAUAUACUAUAUGCGGCAUCAAUGCAUGCCUCCUAUGUAAUGUAUGUAACGUAUCAUCACAAGUUACUCUACCGCCAUGCACGACCUUAUACAGUGAUACCAUCUCGUGUAUAUACUAGCUACUUGCACUCGAAUAAAACUGGACUGUUGCAUGUCUGGAAAUUGAUGUGAAUGCGUGAUUAAUUUAUGUGAAGGUGAAAUUAAAUUUGGUUCGG